RNAcentral lists this ribosomal RNA (495 nucleotides) under uncultured bacterium. RNAcentral's name for it is "partial 16S ribosomal RNA". It matches the Rfam family "Bacterial small subunit ribosomal RNA", at positions 28 to 507 of the family's 1533-position model. The record is from RNAcentral.
GACGAACGCUGGCGGCGUGCCUAAUACAUGCAAGUAGAACGCUGAAGGAGGAGCUUGCUUCUCUGGAUGAGUUGCGAACGGGUGAGUAACGCGUAGGUAACCUGCCUGGUAGCGGGGGAUAACUAUUGGAAACGAUAGCUAAUACCGCAUAAUAGUAGAUGUUGCAUGGCAUUUGCUUAAAAGGUGCAAUUGCAUCACUACCAGAUGGACCUGCGUUGUAUUAGCUAGUUGGUGGGGUAACGGCUCACCAAGGCGACGAUACAUAGCCGACCUGAGAGGGUGAUCGGCCACACUGGGACUGAGACACGGCCCAGACUCCUACGGGAGGCAGCAGUAGGGAAUCUUCGGCAAUGGACGGAAGUCUGACCGAGCAACGCCGCGUGAGUGAAGAAGGGUUUCGGAUCGUAAAGCUCUGUUGUAAGAGAAGAACGAGUGUGAGAGUGGAAAGUUCACACUGUGACGGUAGCUUACCAGAAAGGGACGGCUAACUACGUG